UUUCUAAUGAUCAUGAUCUUUUCCUCAAAGAAGUUCAUAAAUGUAUUACUGCUGAAGUGAAAGCCAUCCUCCAUUUGCGAAGGCUGCUUUUUAGUUAGCUUUGCGACAGUAUCAAAAAGAAAUUUCAGAUUGUUCUUAUUUUCCUCAAUUAAGUUGGAAAAAUAGGAUGAUCGAGCAGCAGUGAGGGCUCUUCGAUACUGCACGGUACUGUCUUUCCAAGCUAGUCGGAAGACUUCCAGUUUGGUGUGGCGCCAUUUCCGUUCCAAUUUUCUGGAAGCUUGCUUCGGAGCUCGUGUAUUUUCUGUAUACCAGGGAGCUAGUUUCUUAUGACAGAUGUUUUUAAUUUUUAGGGGUGCAACUGCAUCUAGGGUAUUGCGCAAGGUUAAAUUGAGUUCCUCGGUUAGGUGGUUAACUGAUUUUUGUCCUCUGACGUCCUUGGGUAGGCAGAGGCAGUCUGGAAGGGCAUCAAGGAAUCCUUGGGUUGUCUGAGAAUUUAUAGCACGACUUUUAAUGCUCCUUGGUUGGGGUCUGAGCAGAUUAUUUGUUGCAAUUGCAAACGUAAUAAAAUGGUGGUCCGAUAGUCCAGGAUUAUGAGGAAAAACAUUAAGAUCCACAACAUUUAUUCCAUGGGACAAAACUAGGUCCAGAGUAUGACUGUGGCAGUGAGUAGGUCCAGAGACAUGUUGGACAAAACCCACUGAGUCGAUGAUGGCUCCGAAAGCCUUUUGGAGUGGGUCUGUGUACUUUUCCAUGUGAAUGUUAAAGUCACCAAAAAUUAGAAUAUUAUCUGCUAUGACUACAAGAUCCGAUAGGAAUUCAGGGAACUCAGUGAGGAACACUGCAUAUGGCCCAGGAGGCCUGUAAACAGUAGCUAUAAAAAGUGAGUGAGUAGGCUGCAUAGAUUUCAUGACUAGAAGCUCAAAAGACGAAAACGUCAUUGUUUUUUUUUUGUAAAUUGAAAUUUGCUAUCGUAAAUGUUAGCAACACCUCCGCCUUUGCCGGAUGCACGGGGGGUAUGGUCACUAGUGUAACCAGGGGGUGAGGCCUCAUUUAACACAGUAAAUUCAUCAGGCUUAAGCCAUGUUUCAGUCAGGCCAAUCACAUCAAGAUUAUUAUCAGUGAUUAGUUCAUUGACUAUAACUGCCUUGGAAGUGAGGGAUCUAACAUUAAGUAACCCAAUUUUGAGAUGUGAGGUAUCACAAUAUCUUUCAAUAAUGGCAGGAAUGGAGGAGGUCUUUAUACUAGUGAGAUUGCUAAAGCGAACACUGCCAUUUUUAAUUUUGCCCAACCUAGAUCGAGGCACAGACACGUUCUCAAUGGGGAAAGCUGAGCUGACUACGCUGACUGUGCUAGUGGCAGAAAACAUUUAUGAGGUGAAAAGUUGUGUUUAUACAACAAAGCCCAGAAAAUUAAAGCCUGCUUGUGAAAAGCCGGCAGUUUCACAGGAAGUUUACCCACAAUAUAUGGACAUUGUAGUAAAAAAUUAAGCCCUCCGAACUUCUGAAAAACAAAAUGAGGUAUAAUAUUCCAGAAACUAUGAGGAUUUUUCUGUACCUUUUUAAUCCAGUUGACCUUUAUCUGAUUGAAGAGAGUGAAGUCUAAGACAUUUAGAUCGCCAUCACAAACCUUGUUGGUGAUAACAUCUCUUUUUAUCUUAUAUGGCUUGUUUUUCCAUAUGAAGUUGUACAAAAGCCUAUCUAAGGUACAGCAAGUGGAUUUGGGAAUGUCAAUAGAUGAAAAAAAGAGCCCAUCAGCUUUGGAUAAAAGCACCCUUCCUUGAAGACUUAAAUCCCUCACUAACCAUGAGGAUAAAGACAGAUUCAGUUACAGGGUUCAAAUUAAGAUCAUUCACAGCCUUAAGAUUUUUGGUGAUCUUUACACCGAGGUAGUUUACAGUAUCUUUUUCAGAGAUGUUACAAUCUGCUGGAUUGACAGCUCCUUUCAAAACAAACAUCUCACAUUUGGAAAGAUUUAAUGCCAAACACGAGAUUUUGGAGAACUGCUUCACAAUAUCCAAUGCUAAUCUAGCUUGUGACACAUUUAAAAAAAAAAAGGUGAGUUAUCAUCCGCCAGUUGGGAUAUCUUGAUCUCUCUGGCCUGGAAUGUAAUGCCUUCAAAUGAACUUUUAUGAACUAAAGAGCAUAACAUUUAAGAUACUAACAAAAAUAAAAAAGGUGAAAUUGGACAACCUUGUCGUAUUCUUUUGUAAAUGUUAAACCAGAGUUUGAUACAGCUAUUGCCACCAUUAUACAGAGUUCUAAUAGCAUCAACAAAAAAACGACCAAAUUUCAAAUGCUUAAGACAAUCAAAGAUAAAAUUGUGACUUACUGUAUCAAAUGCUUUCUGAAAAUCCCAAAAUAGGAUAACAGGGAAGUCAUCCAAUAGAUCACAAUACUCAACCAAGUCUAACACCAGCCUCAGAUUAUCAGAUAUAUGGCGCCCUUUCAUAAACCCUGAUUGACAUUCAUCAAUCAGAUCAUUCAAGCCAGACUUUAACCUUUUUGCAAAGACUAAGGCUAUAAUUUUGUAGUCAUUAUUUAGGAGUGUGAUUGGACGGCAAUUAUCAAUAUUUAAGAGAUCCUGUUGGGAGAGACGGACCAAGGUGCAGCGUAAUUGGAGUUCCACAUCUUUAUUUUAGUGAAACUUAAACAAACCAAGAAACAAACAACGACCAUGAAGUACCAUAGUGCUACAUGCACUCACUCAAAACAAUAUCCCACAAAACACAGGUGGGAAACAGGCUACCUAAAUAUGAUCCACAAUUAGAGGCAACGAUUACCAGCUGCCUCUAAUUGGGAACCAUACAACUCACCAACAUAGAAAUACAAUGACUAGAACACCCCCCUAGUCACACUCUGACCUAAACACCAAGGGCUCUCUAUGUUCAGGGCGUGACAGUACCCCCCCUCUGCACUGGCGCAGAGGAAUACUCCGGCCCUGGAGCGGGACUGGAUGCCGUGCCUGGACGCCGUGCCUGGACUGGGCACCGGCGCAGAGGAAGGCUCCGGCCAUGGAACGGGACUGGACGCCGUGCCUGGACUGGGCCCCGGCACAGAGAAAGGCUCCUGCCAUGGAGUGGGACUGGACGCCGUGCCUGGACGCCAUGCCUGGACUGGGCACCGGCGCAGAGGAAGGCUCCGGCCAUGGAACGGGACUGGACGCCGUGCCUGGACUGGGCCCCGGCGCAGAGAAAGGCUCCUGCCAUGGAGCGGGACUGGACAUCGUGCCUGGACUGGGCACCGGCGCAGAGAAAGGCUCCUGCCCUGGCACUGGCGCAGGAAGCUCCGGGCCGUGGACCAUCAUUGGAAGCUCCAGACAGUGGACUGUCGCUGGAAGCUCCGGGCCGUUGACCGUCGCUGGAAGCUCCGGGCCGUUGACCGUCGCUGGAAGCUCCGGGCCGUUGACCGUCGCUGGAAGCUCCGGGCCGUGAACCGUCGCUGGAAGCUCCGGGCUGUAGACCGUCGCUGGAAGCUCCGGGCUGUAGACCGUCGCUGGAGUCUUAGUGCAUGGAGCCAGUACAGGUGACACCGGACUGGUGACACGCACUUCUGGGUGAGUACGAGGAGCUGGCACAGGACGUACCCAACUGGGGAGGCGCACUGGAGGCCUGGUGCGUGGAGCCAGCACAGGUGGCACCGGACUGUUGACAUGCACUCAGGGCGAGUGCGGGGAGCUGGCACAGGACGUACCAGACUGGGGAGGCGCACUGGAGGCCUGGUGCGUGGAGCCAGCACAGGUGGCACCAGACUGUUGACACGCACUUCAGGGCGAAUGCGGGGAGCUGGCACAGGACGUACCAGACUGGGGAGGAGCACUGGAGGCUUGGUGCGUGGAGCCGGCACAGGUGGCACCGGACUGGUGAUACGCACUUCAGGGCGAGUGCGGGGAGCUGGCACAUGAUGUACCGGACUGGGGAGGCGCACUGGAGGCCUGGUGCGUGGAGCCAGCACAGGUGGCACCGGACUGUUGACAUGCACUUCAGGGCGAGUGCGGGGAGCUGGCACAGGACAUACCAGACUGGGGAGGCGCACUGGAGGCCUAGUGCGUGGAGCCGGCACAGGUGGCACCAGACUGUUGACACGCACUUCGCCUCCCUGACGGUCUCUGGCUCUUCAGGGCGAGUGCGAGGAGCUGGCACAGAUGGCACCAGACUGGUGUCACGCUCUUCAGCACGCCUGUGCUGCAGCAUACUCCUAGCCAAAACCUCUCUCCUGUAUCCCUCAUUGAACUCCUCCAGAGACUCCCAUUCGGGCUCUGGCACUCUCCGCUACUCAGCCGUCCGCCCCAUGUGCCCCCCCCAAAAAAAAUCUUGGGGUUUCUGUGGCCGCAGUCCCCGGCGUUGUCGCUGUCCUUCCUGCGUCCUCUGCGACUUCCGCCAAGGAAGGGUCUCGUGUCCUCCCAUGAUCUCCUCCCAUGUCCAAAACUCCUUUAUCUCAUGAACACGCUGCUUGGUCCUUGUGUGGUGGGAUAUUCUGUCAUGGCUGUUGGGAGAGACGGACCAAGGCGCAGCGUGAUUGGAGUUCCACAUCUUUAUUUUAGUGAAACUUAAACAAACCAAGAAACAAACAACGACCGUGAAGUACCAUAGUGCUACAUGCACUCACUCAAAACAAUAUCCCACAAAACACAGGUGGGAAACAGGCUACCUAAAUAUGAUCCCUAAUUAGAGGCAACGAUUACCAGCUGCCUCUAAUUGGGAACCAUACAGCUCACCAACAUACAAAUACAAUGACUAGAACACCCCCCUAGUCACGCUCUGACCUAAACACCAUAGAGAACCAAGGGCUCUCUAUGGUCAGGGCGUGACAAACCCCUUGCUUCAGAGAUGCAGUUAGUUCUCCCUUUAUAGCCUCCUUAAAGGUUUCAAGUAAAAAUUGUGCUAUUUCUUCAGAGAAGGUUUUGUAAAAUUCAGAGGUUAAUCCAUCACAACCUGGAGAUUUGUUAUUUUUUAACUGAGCAACCCCGUACUGGAUGUCCAUAAUGGAUAAAUCUUGACAACAAGACUUCACUAACCGAAUUAACAUUCUCUAUAGAAUCAAGGAGAUCCUUAGAGUCACUCAAAUUGUUAUCUAAGGAGUAAAGAUUCUCAUAAAAUGUAGUGUUAAAGUCUGAUAACAACUCUCUAUCCUCAGUGGUAAGCCCAUUAAUCUUAAGUUUCCGAAGUGUGUUGAGUUCCCCUCUCCUCUUUUCCAAAUUAAAAAAGUAUCUACUGUUCUUUUCGCCUUUUUCAAGCCAUUGUUUUCUGGAUCUUAUGAAAGCUCCUCUAGUCUUUUCCUCAUACAAUGUAUCUAGUUGAUUCUGUAAAUCAUUCAAUUUAGCUUUCUCAUUAAGAUCAAGAUGCUCAAUCUCUGUGACAUCCGCAAUUGUCUUAGAGAGUUCAGCUACCUCACAUCUCCUUAAAGCAAGCCGUUUUCCAUAAGUAAUACAGGCUGAGUGGAUUUUAAAUUUCAGCAGUUCCCAAUAUUUCCCAUAUUCUGCAUUAGAUGUAGCUAAACUCCAGUAAACAGAAAUUAGAUUCUUAAUCACAUUUUUUAAAUCAUCAUGCAAUAACAAUGAGUUAUGUAAUUUCCAAUAACCACCAGAGUAUUUCUUACCAUCAUUACUGCAUAAUUCUUACAGUCAACCAUAUGACUUUAUGAUCCGUCAGGACUGCAGGCUGUAUUUUGACCUCUACAGUGUUGGGCUCAAGACUAGAGGAUAUCACCCACAAAUCAAUUCUUCAUUGUAAGGAACGAUCUCUAUUACUCCAUGUGUAUUGUUUCUCUCCAGGGUUUUUAACUCUCCAUAUGUCAAUUAAAUCCAGGCUUUGGUAGUAAUUCACCAAUUUGUUCACACCAAUGUUAGGCCUAUGGGGCAAUCUAUCAGUCUCAUUAGAAUAAACCAUAUUAAAAUCUCCAUCAACUAUAAUCUGACUGGAUGGAUAUUUUCUCAGAAGACUUUUAAGAAUUUCUUCAAUUUCCUCUAGAAGUAAGUUAUUUGGAGGACUUGAACAGUAUCCAUAUACAUUACACAACACAAAUAAUCUGUCCAUGUGGUUGAUGACCGCUACUAGCCAAUGUCCAUUGGAGUCCAUUUGAGUAAACAAAAAUGUACGAAUGAUUAGUCCCGUGGGCCAAAGAAAUGACAUUGCCCCACUGAUUUUUCCAAUAAUUAUAGUCCUCUUUGCAUGAAUGUGUUUCUUGAACGAAUACAAGAUCUGCGUUGCAGUCCUUACAAAACAAAAAAAGCUUUUUCUCUUCAACAGGUUUCGUAUCCCCCUGGCAUUGAUUGACAUAAACUUCAAGUCCAUAUCUAUAGAAUAGAAAGAAAAAUCCUAUGCAAUCUCAACUCUACCCUCUCUAUAAAAUGUUGCUUCAUAUAUGUAUUAACAGAAGUCUUAACUUGUAAACAGUAACACCAUAAUUCAAAACUAGAACGCUCAGUUUGCAGUGGGGAAGGAGUUACUUUGUAAACCCACCGACAGAACAAAUCACCCCGGUCGUAUUUAUUUUCCGUCGGCGAAAAAGGCUCUAAUUCCCCUGUAGUAUCCACCCUUUCCUUGAUUUCGGGCCUGUUGUAUAAGAGGCCACAAUUUUGCCUUUGCUGCCUUGUCUGCUGCAGUCAAGUCCUCACCGAAUCUAAAUUUUCUCUCUUUCAGAAAGGCACUUUCCUUUGCUUUCUUCCAAACUGCAUCUCUCGCUGUGCAAAAAGCAAACUGGAUGAUGAUCGAGUGCCUGACGAUGGCAUCUUGCUUAUUCCCAAUACGAUGAGCGACAUCCACAGCCAUAUAUCCAUCGGGGAAGUCCGGUGCCACACGGUUACAGAUGUCUCUUACUAAGCGCUUCACAUUCUCAUCCUGGUCCUCGGGGACACCAUAAAGCCGUAGCCCCCACCUUCUCCGGUAUUGCUCUGCUUCCGAUAAGAGCUCUUGCAUGUCUGCGAUGGUCUUCUCCUGUGCAGUGCAUUUCUCAGAAGUAGCAGUGUUUGCAAGUUUAAGCGCUUCGAUACUCUUGUAUGCAUGAUUCAGAGAGGUCUCGAGGUCAACUAUUUUUUUACGUGUUUUAGCGUAUCAUUUUCUCCAGACCAUCGUCUCUUUCGUUUAUCUUUGCAGAGACAGCAUCGAUUUAUGUUGACCUGUAGUUUGCGCAAAGACAAUUCCUUCUGGGUCUUUUUGGGUGCGGGACUAUUGACUGGAUUUUCAGAAUCAACCGAAUGUCCAGAAUCCUCCAUUUCUUCUCCUGAGGAGUCAGGUGUCGGUUUUUCUCCAACGUAUGAGUGCUCAGCUUGCAACUGCCUUCUCCUCCCUUUGCUCUUUCGCACAGUUUUUUCUUCCAUUUCUCAAAGUUUCAGAUCAAAUUAGCGGUCAACUAAGCGUUGUUCUCUAUUGUGUUUACUAUAAGCCAAGUUCCGUUACAUUUAAGUAAGUUUGAGUGGGAUAAACGUUAAGGUUACUCGGAGCAAGCUGAAAUCUCAUCUGCACUCGCCGCCAUCUUCAGCACCCCCCGGGCCGAGCCAACUCAGUCACACACUUAGCAGCCGAGAAGACAGAGGAAGGGCAGCUAUGAAAGCAACAGCUGGAAAAUGAGUCGGAAGCACAGUAGCAGUUGGAUGCAUUUUAAUAAUGUAGACAAUGUUAGAGCACAGUGUAGAAUUUGCCAAAACAAAAUCUCAUAUAAAGCCGGUUCUACGCAAAACCUAGACCGGCAUAUGCGAACUGUGCACCCAACUGUGAAGCUAGCUGUAGCGGAGCUUCGAGAAACUAGCGGGCCUGCUAGUGAUAGUGGUGGAGCCUGCACCUCCACAUGUGGAGAUGUAUCCACUCAGUCAAGUAGGCCUACUCCGUGACCCACAGAAACGCAGUCUUCUAUGGACCAGUUUAUGCCAAUGUCUGUAGCAAAACAAGGCCAAAUUGAUAUUGCAUUGGCUAAAAUGAUUGCCACUGAUUUCCAGCCAUUUUCGAACAUAGAGGACAGAGGUUUUAGAAAUUAUAGCAAUAGUCUAAAUCCAAUGUACACAAUUCCAAGCAGGAAAACCCUUUUAAAAUCACCUGAUUGUAAGAGAUGCUCUGAAGGUGAUGAAGCCCACUGUGGACAAAGUGAAAGCAGCUGUGGAAUACUUCCACCACAGGAGCACAGUAAGUGCUGAAAAACUAGUCUACACAAUGCCAGAUGGGGAUGCCUGAGCUGAGGCCUAAACAAGACUGCACUACAAGGUGGAAUUCAACAUUGUAUAUGUUGAAGCGGCUUCUUGAGUCAAAGGAUGCCAUCAUCUCUACCCUGGCCAUUGUCACAAUGCACCUGUUGAUGCUCUGGCCCAAGAGGAAUGGGAGGUGGUGAAUGAGGUGUGCAGAGUCCUGGAACCCUUUGAGCAGGUCACUGUGGAGAUCAGUGGAGAGAGCUAUGUGACAGCCUCAAAAAUGAUACUCCUGUGUAAGGAUCUGCAGCGAAUCACAGCCAGCCGCCAGAGAGAAGCAAAUGUAACCACAGGACAUGUGACAGCGUUGAUGGACACCUUAUGUUCAUCAAUGAACAGAAAGUUCCACAGAAUGGAAUAUAAUCACGUGCUAUCAGAAACCGCUGCACUUGACCCCAGGUUUAAGAAGUUAGCCUUCAGUGAUGUCAGAGCGAUUGAUGAGGCUCUUCAAAUAAUAACCUCAGCAGCAGGGAGGGACAGCCCCAGCAGUCAGCUGGCUCAGGCACCAGGAAGAAGAUGGAGCAGAUGGAGCAGAAGCACCAGCAGUAGUGCCACAAACGUCUGCUGUUUGGAUGCUGUUUGAUGAGAGAACAACUGGGGAUGCAGCACGAAGGAAUCCCUCAGCAGAUGCCAUAAUGGAGGUCCGAUCCUAUUUGGAGGAGCCCCUGGAGCUGGUGAAAGAACAAGGCCUCUGUCUACCCACAGCUUACUAAAGUCAUGACAGGGAGACUCUGCAUAGUGGUCACAUCCGUUCCCUCUGAGAGGGUCUUCUCGAAAACGGGACAAAUAAUUACUGAGAGAAGAAACCCCAUCAGCCCCACAAAAGUGAGGCAGCUUGCAUUUCUGAAUGAAAAUCUCUCAUAAAAGCUAAAUAUGGUCAGCAUUGCUGUGUGCUGCUGGUUAUAACAUGACAAUAAAGAGAGAGAAAAGAGGGACCAGUUUAAUGUUUUAAGUGGGAUGCUGCAGUUUUGCACAUUAUUUAUUUUUCUUUGAUAUGGAGCAAUAUUCUAUUAUUAUAUUGUUCAGAUUAUAUUCGUUUUGAAUUGUUACAUUUAUAUGCACUUUGUUUAUAUACAUUAAAAAAUGUAUACUUUAAAUGCACAUGUGUAAUAGCAUCCUUCUUUUUUACAUUUAUUUCAAUUUGUGGGAUGCUGCAGUUUUCCAAAUUGUUAUUUAUUUUUCUUUGAUAAGGUGCAAUAUUAUAUUAUGCUGUUCAGAUUGUAUUCGUUUUCAAUGGUUAGAUUUAUAUGCACUUUGUUUAUAUACAUUAAAAAGUUAUACUUCAAAUGUUUAAUAGCAUUAUUUUUCAUAACAAACCAAUGCAUUUUUAAAUACAUUGUGGUUAAGGUAGAGUAUGAUAUCAUUUAAUAAUUUAAUUAGAAUUGUUUAACACCAAUCAUAGUGAAACUAUCGCUAAAUGUCUGACUUUAAAAAAUACAAAACAUAUAUUUUUUAAAGAGUCGUUUGGGGGCCAAAAGAGCCGGCACUUUUUGGUGAGCUGAGCCGAACGAGCCGGCUCACUGAAAAGAGCUGGAAUGCCUAUCACUAGUGCAGCGGCACCACUUUAAUCUUAAAUUAGUGCAGUCACAUUCACGUUUUAUUGCGCUGUAUGGUCCUGUACAUCAUUAAGUCGUCACAGUCAUGUUAUAGCCAUGCAUAUUGUUUAUAGGAUAUGUGUUUUGUAUUCUGUCAUUCACUAUUGUAUCUUUAUUUCUCUCUUUAUUUGCAGACCACACACACACACUUUGGCUGAAGCAAGAUGCCAGACCACUAAGUGCCUUAUAGCCCAUCGACUACAUACAGUGUGCGGUGCUGUUCCAUGCCUGUGCAUCUUCAGCGUUAUUAAACCACCUCAACUGGAAUCCUACCUGUCUCAUCUGUGCCCUUACCAGCACACGGGAGCAAACACAUAAAGUAAAACGUAAUCUGAAGAAUAUACAGUCCACCAACAUCUGCAAGAUUUGAGUAACACUAAUGUAAUCUGUUGUUGAAUAUUGCAGGCAAUAAUUUGGGGGGAAAUUUCCCACAGUCAGGAUACACACCUAUGGAUAGACCGAGUGAUGGGAUGAUUGAUACCGGAGUUCCGACGUAGUUUUCAAAGCACUACUGAUCCAAAACAAUGUACCGAAGCUUGUUUCAAAGUAACAUUAUCACGCGAUCAAUGACAUCAGAGGCUUUGUUUCAUCACGUGGUUUUUCAAACUGUAUUUAGCAAAAUGCAAGAUCCCCCUGAAUUCUGCUGUGGUUCCGGGGCUUUCUUCGAUUCCAAAUUGCUUUCAAACACCUGGGAUUUGUUCAUAUAGUGUCACCUGAACGGUAGCUCAGCAGGUGAACAAGGGAAUGGGGUUGAAUACCAGCCAAGGCAUAUUAUGUAGAAAAUCGUUUUAUGUGAAACCACACCAAACAUUGUUUAAACAAUUAGUUUUAUUUAGAAAAGU
RNAcentral lists this long non-coding RNA (10609 nucleotides) under Salmo salar (Atlantic salmon). RNAcentral's name for it is "lncRNA (ENSSSAG00000092112.1)". The record is from RNAcentral. Lineage: Eukaryota; Metazoa; Chordata; Actinopteri; Salmoniformes; Salmonidae.